Molecule: non-coding RNA, 577 nt
Organism: Penaeus vannamei (Pacific white shrimp)
Lineage: Eukaryota; Metazoa; Arthropoda; Malacostraca; Decapoda; Penaeidae
Source: RefSeq, a predicted model, not a curated record
UGUUGCAAUUUUGUUGAUCAUAUCUUGCAGUGAUGAUAUUUUAAAUCGUGUUCGUGUGAUAUGCUUUUUACUGUGUUUAAUAUCAUGAAAUUGUUUGAAGUAUUUGAUUUAAAAAGAAAAAGUGUGUGGUUUUUACCUUGUAAUUUGGUACAACCAUUAAUUGUAGUAAUAAUGGUAUCACUAUCAGUGGUAUUGCUACUACUAUGAUUAAUAUUGUUUCUUGUGUGCUGGCUUGCCAAGCUUGGUCUUAACGAAACGGUGGCUAAAUAAUCUAAAUAAACCUAAUCCCGUUCUUUUUCCUUCCAAAAGACGAAACCACGACCACGUCAACUACGCCCACGCCCACGCCCACGCCCACGUCAAUAAGGACGACCUCAACGACACAAAAUGCUACAGUUAUACCAGACAGGCUCUUCUGUGCCGCGGAGUGUGGGCGUGCGAACCUCACCGUGCCCCGGAUCGUGGGCGGGCAGGUGGCGACGAGGCUGGAGUACCCGUGGGUGGCCUACAUCACCAUCUCGGGCGGCGGCGGCCAGGACGUGUCGUGCGGGGGCGCCAUCGUCAACAGGGAUCACGU